Non-coding RNA from Pelobates cultripes (western spadefoot toad), 97 nucleotides. Lineage: Eukaryota; Metazoa; Chordata; Amphibia; Anura; Pelobatidae. The record is from the annotation of a GenBank genome assembly.
ACAAGCUUUCGGGAGAACCUCCCUUUCUCAAGUCUGAAGCAUUUCUGAGCUCAGAAAUGCUUCAGACUUGAGAAAGGGAGGUUCUCCCGAAAGCUUG